GAUGAACGCUGGCGGCGUGCUUAACACAUGCAAGUCGAACGAUGAAGCUCAGCUUGCUGGGUGGAUUAGUGGCGAACGGGUGAGUAACACGUGAGUAACCUGCCCUUAACUCUGGGAUAAGCCUGGGAAACUAGGUCUAAUACCGGAUAGGAGCGCCUACCGCAUGGUGGGUGUUGGAAAGAUUUAUCGGUUUUGGAUGGACUCGCGGCCUAUCAGCUUGUUGGUGAGGUAAUGGCUCACCAAGGCGACGACGGGUAGCCGGCCUGAGAGGGUGACCGGCCACACUGGGACUGAGACACAGCCCAGACUCCUACGGGAGGCAGCAGUGGGGAAUAUUGCACAAUGGGCGAAAGCCUGAUGCAGCGACGCCGCGUGAGGGAUGACGGCCUUCGGGUUGUAAACCUCUUUCAGUAGGGAAGAAGCGAAAGUGACGGUACCUGCAGAAGAAGCACCGGCUAACUACGUG
This 466-nucleotide ribosomal RNA is filed under the name uncultured bacterium. RNAcentral's name for it is "partial 16S ribosomal RNA". It matches the Rfam family "Bacterial small subunit ribosomal RNA", at positions 28 to 507 of the family's 1533-position model. The record is from RNAcentral.